RNAcentral lists this non-coding RNA (150 nucleotides) under Nomascus leucogenys (northern white-cheeked gibbon). The record is from RNAcentral. Lineage: Eukaryota; Metazoa; Chordata; Mammalia; Primates; Hylobatidae.
GGGCAGGAAAAGGUGUGAGAGACCUUAUUCCUUUGGUCUCAAAUGCCUUCAGCCUAAAAAAUAUUCAAGGCUGGUUUAUAGCUUAUCACAACCAGUUACAAAUUUAUUUGUUCCUUCUCCAUUCCCACUGCUUCACUUGACUGCCCUUAA